AUUGAACGCUGGCGGCAGGCCUAACACAUGCAAGUCGAACGGUAACAGGAAACAGCUUGCUGUUUCGCUGACGAGUGGCGGACGGGUGAGUAAUGUCUGGGAAACUGCCUGAUGGAGGGGGAUAACUACUGGAAACGGUAGCUAAUACCGCAUAACGUCGCAAGACCAAAGAGGGGGACCUUCGGGCCUCUUGCCAUCGGAUGUGCCCAGAUGGGAUUAGCUAGUAGGUGGGGUAACGGCUCACCUAGGCGACGAUCCCUAGCUGGUCUGAGAGGAUGACCAGCCACACUGGACCUGAGACACGGUCCAGACUCCUACGGGAGGCAGCAGUGGGGAAUAUUGCACAAUGGGCGCAAGCCUGAUGCAGCCAUGCCGCGUGUAUGAAGAAGGCCUUCGGGUUGUAAAGUACUUUCAGCGGGGAGGAAGGGAGUAAAGUUAAUACCUUUGCUCAUUGACGUUACCCGCAGAAGAAGCACCGGCUAACUCCGU
Molecule: ribosomal RNA, 489 nt
Filed under: uncultured bacterium
Lineage: Bacteria
Description: partial 16S ribosomal RNA
Rfam family: Bacterial small subunit ribosomal RNA
Source: RNAcentral